GAUGAACGCUGGCGGCGUGCCUAAUACAUGCAAGUCGAGCGAACGGACGAGAAGCUUGCUUUUCUGAUGUUAGCGGCGGACGGGUGAGUAACACGUGGAUAACCUACCUAUAAGACUGGGAUAACUUCGGGAAACCGGAGCUAAUACCAGAUAAUAUUUUGAACCGCAUGGUUCAAAAGUGAAAGACGGUCUUGCUGUCACUUAUAGAUGGAUCCGCGCUGCAUUAGCUAGUUGGUAAGGUAACGGCUUACCAAGGCAACGAUGCAUAGCCGACCUGAGAGGGUGAUCGGCCACACUGGAACUGAGACACGGUCCAGACUCCUACGGGAGGCAGCAGUAGGGAAUCUUCCGCAAUGGGCGAAAGCCUGACGGAGCAACGCCGCGUGAGUGAUGAAGGUCUUCGGAUCGUAAAACUCUGUUAUUAGGGAAGAACAUAUGUGUAAGUAACUGUGCACAUUUUGACGGUACCUAAUCAGAAAGCCACGGCUAACUACGUG
This 497-nucleotide ribosomal RNA is filed under the name uncultured bacterium. RNAcentral's name for it is "partial 16S ribosomal RNA". It matches the Rfam family "Bacterial small subunit ribosomal RNA", at positions 28 to 507 of the family's 1533-position model. The record is from RNAcentral.